RNAcentral lists this ribosomal RNA (440 nucleotides) under uncultured Stenotrophomonas sp. Its description in RNAcentral is "bacterial SSU rRNA". It matches the Rfam family "Bacterial small subunit ribosomal RNA", at positions 358 to 790 of the family's 1533-position model. Lineage: Bacteria; Pseudomonadati; Pseudomonadota; Gammaproteobacteria; Lysobacterales; Lysobacteraceae. The record is from RNAcentral.
GGAAUAUUGGACAAUGGGCGCAAGCCUGAUCCAGCCAUACCGCGUGGGUGAAGAAGGCCUUCGGGUUGUAAAGCCCUUUUGUUGGGAAAGAAAAGCAGUCGAUUAAUACUCGGUUGUUCUGACGGUACCCAAAGAAUAAGCACCGGCUAACUUCGUGCCAGCAGCCGCGGUAAUACGAAGGGUGCAAGCGUUACUCGGAAUUACUGGGCGUAAAGCGUGCGUAGGUGGUUGUUUAAGUCUGUUGUGAAAGCCCUGGGCUCAACCUGGGAACUGCAGUGGAAACUGGAUGACUAGAGUGUGGUAGAGGGUAGCGGAAUUCCCGGUGUAGCAGUGAAAUGCGUAGAGAUCGGGAGGAACAUCCAUGGCGAAGGCAGCUACCUGGACCAACACUGACACUGAGGCACGAAAGCGUGGGGAGCAAACAGGAUUAGAUACCCUGG